Rhinolophus ferrumequinum (greater horseshoe bat) is the source of this 735-nucleotide long non-coding RNA. RefSeq lists it as uncharacterized. The record is from RefSeq and is a predicted model, not a curated record. The transcript has 4 exons. Lineage: Eukaryota; Metazoa; Chordata; Mammalia; Chiroptera; Rhinolophidae.
AGAAGCUGUAGCUGGAGCCCUUAUCCAGGAAGAUGCGCUCGGGGAGCUCGUACUCGGCACUGAGGUCGUAGAUCUUUUUGUAGUUGUCCACGUCAAUGUGCACGUUACCCGCGCUCUGCCAGUUGCUCGCCAGAGUUGUCUCACCCUUGCCGCUGCAAGAAGUAACGGUUGCUGAGUUGCUGGUACAUCAGAAGCUGCUCCACGGGCACAAGCCUCUUGACCAGCUCGCUCUGCUGGCUGUUUACAAGAGAGAAGACUGUUGCAUCAUCUGCAGGCUGAUGUACACCUCCCAGCCCUUGGACGGGAACAGCUUGUACACCCGGUAACUGCCCUCCAGAAGGUACCAGAUCUGGGGGUGCAACAGCCAGGUGUGAGUGAGGACCAUGGGGACCUCUGACCCCAUCUCUCCCUCUGCCAAGUGUGCUGGCUCCACUUAUUGAGGGGUGAGACUUGGAGCUCACCUCCAUCUGGGACCAGCCUGACUACUCUCAACUCUCACUGUCUGGGAAUGAGUCUGUCUUCCUAACUGCCCAGUGAGGGCAGGACCCAGAGCUGACUCAGUCACCACUGUGUCCCCAGCACUGGGUCGGGCAUCCAGUAAGUACUCCAUAUCUAUGAAAUGAACAGCCGAAUGAUGACAUGAAAGAGGGCCCCCCUGGAAAUCAGAUCACAUAACUCUGAGCAUAGGUCUUUCACUGCUGACAGACUUUGGAAAACACACUUAGCUUCGUUGAG